This 254-nucleotide ribosomal RNA is filed under the name uncultured bacterium. RNAcentral's name for it is "partial 16S ribosomal RNA". It matches the Rfam family "Bacterial small subunit ribosomal RNA", at positions 524 to 776 of the family's 1533-position model. The record is from RNAcentral.
UACGUAGGUGGCAAGCGUUGUCCGGAUUUACUGGGCGUAAAGAGCGCGCAGGCGGUCUGUUAAGUGCACAAGUGAAAGCUCCGGGCUCAACUCGGAAAUUGCUUUGCAUACUGGCAGGCUGGAGGGACGCAGAGGUCUGUGGAAUUCCUGGUGUAACGGUGAAAUGUGUUGAUAUCAGGAGGAACACCCAUGGCGAAGGCAGCAGACUGGGCGUUUCCUGACGCUGAGGCGCGAAAGCGUGGGUAGCAAACAGG